This 253-nucleotide ribosomal RNA is filed under the name uncultured prokaryote. RNAcentral's name for it is "partial 16S ribosomal RNA". It matches the Rfam family "Bacterial small subunit ribosomal RNA", at positions 524 to 776 of the family's 1533-position model. The record is from RNAcentral.
UACAGAGGGGGCUAGCGUUGUUCGGAAUUACUGGGCGUAAAGGGCGCGUAGGUGGCCUGCUAAGUCGAACGUGAAAUCCCCGGGCUCAACCCGGGAACUGCGUCCGAGACUGGCAGGCUCGAAUCCGGGAGAGGGGGGUAGAAUUCCAGGUGUAGCGGUGAAAUGCGUAGAGAUCUGGAGGAAUACCGGUGGCGAAGGCGGCCCCCUGGACAAAGACUGACGCUCAGGUGCGAAAGCGUGGGGAGCAAACAGG